GAAAUUUGCCUUGCAUUGCCUGGUGAGUGGCAUUCUUCCAUCGUCCUGGUUGCUAUGACGAUGAAGGAAACUCGUUUGUUCCGGGUCACUCCUAAAUUUGCACAUGAAAGCAUUAGAGAUUACUGCUGUCUAAUCAAGUUAUAUGGAAAAGUUUAAAGGGAGGUACAAUGUUUUACAGCCAGCAACCCUCCACAGAAUAAAACACAAUAGCUGAGAAAAAGGAUUAUCUCCUGCUUUUAAAAACAUACGAAGAAAGUUCAAAAUGGUGUGAAAGCUUUUUUAGCCAAACAUUGUGAUUUUUUAAUGCUAUUUUCUAAAUGAGGAAUGUAGAAUCACAUUUCUAAUGGAGAAUUAGUAUAUGUGUUGCCCAACUCCAGGGCUACAUUCAGCGUAAUGAAUUAGGCGUGUGCUGUGCAUACAUUAAAAGCUUUUACUUUUGAACUCCAGAUUCCUAAGUGUCAUGGUCCUAAUUAUUGUCACAUCACUGCUGAAAUGCAAAAAACUUGUUACUUUGAGUAUGAAUUACAUCUCCAAAGAAGUCAGGAAUGGUGGUGAAUAUAAGUGGGAAGCCCCGGGAGAAGCCCACUUGUUGCUGCAGAGGGGAAGCAUUCUGCAGUGCCCUGGGAAAUACCAGCUGCACCCGGAGGCUUCAGUUCUUUGCUGUUGCCCAGCCAACACCUGAGGGAUCACAAACGAACCUGGGAGUAAGUAAUUAAAAUUCAAAGCUUUAACAUUCAGAUACUUUUACGCUUUCUUUUGCUUCCAACUUGCAAGAAAUUUUCCAG
This 785-nucleotide long non-coding RNA is filed under the name Coturnix japonica (Japanese quail). RNAcentral's name for it is "lncRNA (ENSCJPG00005008734.1)". The record is from RNAcentral. Lineage: Eukaryota; Metazoa; Chordata; Aves; Galliformes; Phasianidae.